AUUGAACGCUGGCGGCAUGCCUUACACAUGCAAGUCGAACGGCAGCACGGGUGCUUGCUCCUGGUGGCGAGUGGCGAACGGGUGAGUAAUACAUCGGCACAUGUCCUGUAGUGGGGGAUAGCCCGGCGAAAGCCGGAUUAAUACCGCAUACGAUCUACGGAUGAAAGCGGGGGACCUUCGGGCUUCGCGCUUUCGGGUUGGCCGAUGGCUGAUUAGCUAGUUGGUGGGGUAAAGGCCUACCAAGGCGACGAUCAGUAGCUGGUCUGAGAGGACGACCAGCCACACUGGGACUGAGACACGGCCCAGACUCCUACGGGAGGCAGCAGUGGGGAAUUUUGGACAAUGGGCGAAAGCCUGAUCCAGCAAUGCCGCGUGUGUGAAGAAGGCCUUCGGGUUGUAAAGCACUUUUGUCCGGAAAGAAAUCCUUGGCCCUAAUACGGUCGGGGGAUGACGGUACCGGAAGAAUAAGCACCGGCUAACUACGUG
This 486-nucleotide ribosomal RNA is filed under the name uncultured bacterium. RNAcentral's name for it is "partial 16S ribosomal RNA". It matches the Rfam family "Bacterial small subunit ribosomal RNA", at positions 30 to 507 of the family's 1533-position model. The record is from RNAcentral.